AAUUCAUCUAAGCCCACUGCAAAAUAGUUAUAUGAGUCCAUCAACUAAUAAAAGUACAGAGUGUGCACUAAUAGUCUAAUACUCACGCUUCCAUCUUCUUAUUUCUCAUUUUGUCUCAACAUAUCCCUCUCUCUAUAUCUCUUUCUCUUUCUCUUUAAUUUUCGCCAAACAAGAGUUAGUCUCGGUUUCCUUCACGAUCGGAGAUCCAAAUAAUAUCCGAUCGUCACGAAAUUUUAUCCAAAGAUGGAUGACUCAUAAAGCAUCAUUCCUACCGAAGGAGAUCAAACUUUAACGGUUCUAUCUUCUGUUAUUAAACUUUUAAGUGGCUGCCAUUUCAACAGUAACAACGGCGGUUUUGUACACGAUCGGAGGUUCAAACAUUGUCCGAUCGUUCUGAAAUUUUAAAGGAAGGUAAACAACUCUUCUAACUUCACUUUGACCGAAGGAAAUUACAUUUGAACGGUUAGACUUUCCGUUAUAAAUUUCCAAAGGUGCUUAUCUUCCAAAGAGAACAUUUUAGGAGUUUUUGCUACUUUCUAAUUAUUUUAUUGAUUCUAAGACUUUGCAUAUGUUGUAUGUAAAUUAGGCUCAGCAUAGAAUAAAAUGGUUUUCCUACAUGAAUUUGAAAAGAAAGAGUUGAAAGAUUGUUUAUGAAGCAUGCUUAGUUGUGAUUCUAUGUUCUAUAUGAAUUCAUGCUAACAUGACAUGCUUGAUAAAAUCAUGCUUGAAAAGAUUUAACUUGUGGUUUGAGAAUCAUUACCUCAAAAGAAUGAUAAGAGAUUUCUAUGAUGAGCACUCCAAUUUGAAAUUCUCCUUCUUAAAGAAAGCUUGAAAACUUGGUAUUGGAAGGUUGGAAAGUUUUCCGUCUACUUGCUUGAAAAUAAAAUUUGGAGGUGAAAGAGAUUUUGGGUAGACGUGUUGAUAAUGGAAGUUGAUACUUUCUUUUAUCCACUAGCUCCCUACACAAGAGGUAGAAUUGAAGGAGAGUGUUUGUUGGCGAAGCUCCCGGGAUGGUGUAGGAUUUGGAAGUUGGAGUUUCCUGAAGAUAGAAUAUUAGCUUUGCGAAGAAGCUUUAGCUUGUUUUUGUAACAUCAUAAAUUAAAUACAAUUAGUACAUUUCUCAUUUGAAGAGAAAUAGCAAUAUUUUG
Long non-coding RNA from Salvia splendens (bonfire salvia), 1148 nucleotides. RefSeq lists it as uncharacterized. Lineage: Eukaryota; Viridiplantae; Streptophyta; Magnoliopsida; Lamiales; Lamiaceae. The transcript has 3 exons. The record is from RefSeq and is a predicted model, not a curated record.